This 1413-nucleotide long non-coding RNA is filed under the name Homo sapiens (human). RNAcentral's name for it is "HSALNT0371808". The record is from RNAcentral. Lineage: Eukaryota; Metazoa; Chordata; Mammalia; Primates; Hominidae.
CUGUUCCAUUUAUUUUGCAAAUGUAUCCUGCUUGUUGCUGCUGUUUUCAGCCAUGCCCUUUCUCCUUCUUUCUGUGAUGAUGCCUCCAUUUCUGUGAUGUCUGACUUUUUUCCUUCCUCCUCUUUCUUGAGCGCCGCCACCUCGGUUUUCUUCACCUCUUGUUGUCUUCUGAGGUCUUCCUCGAGCCUGUGCCUCUGCCACAAGUUCCUGAUCCACGGAGGCCACAGGUAACAUCCGGUUGUUUGAACCCGUGGAGAACUGCGGGGCACGGUUCUCCUCUGCUUCUCAGCCACGCCGUCCCGCCAUGCGUUCUUCACCCACAUUUGUCGGUUGCUGCCUCCCUCCCUCCAGCUGUCAGCUGUCCCUCUCUCUUCCUUCUUCUCCCUUCCUCCCUCUCCAUGUGUACGGCUUGGACCUUAACCCUCUUUUUCUCUCAAAGACCUGAAAUGUGGGGGUCCUAGAGGGCCCCUCUUCAGAGCCACACUUACAGCCAGCCAGUUGCAAAGAGGGCAGGUAGAUUCCACACCAUCUUCCACAGCCCGCUGCCUGCCACUCUCUGCAGCUCAAAUUUCAGGGGCUCCUGCAGCUGAGACAUGGACCCUACUUUACGCCAAGCAGAGGGCCGUGGGGUUCCCUCGUGUGACUGUGAGGUUUGCUGGAGACUGCGAGCCUGCCAGUGUGGCCUCUGCCCUGCCUGGUGCCCAUCCUGUCUCCGAUCCACCUGCACGCCGCAUCCUGGAUCCUCAUCUCCCGCACCCAUGGAUUUCAGCAUCCAGUGUUUCUUGGCGUUCCCUCUCACAGGCCCAGUUCCUCAUGGACGUGAGACCUUCCCACCCAGCGUCUCCCCGAACACGGCCGAAUAACAGAAGAUCUUCUUCAGAAACCUCAAGCUCCGAUGAUGCCUUCAGACCCAUGAAGAUGGAGUGUGAAAUUCCAUGAAUAUCGAGUCUAUUUUCUGGACCCCAGAGGCUUCAAUGGAAAAUUGAAGAAUAUGAAUGAAUAUAGCAAAUUUCAGCAGAGAGAUCGAAAGGACCACAGAGGAUGAAAUGAUGAAAUGCUCAUGCAAGAGAAAAAUCUCAACAAAGGAGCUACAGAAUGCUUUCCCCAGACUGUCUGUCUGACACCAGAUUUGACAACACUUUGUAAAUAACCAGGAGCCACAGUAGAAAUAUUCUAGGGAAUGGGAAUCACUGUCUCCUGAGGUAACAAAGAAAUAUAGAAAGCCAACAAAAUGUUUAGAAUUAUAAUCAUGAUAAUAAUGAUAGCUAGCAUUUAUUGAGUACUUGCUGUGUUCCAGCCAGGCUUGGUACUAACCUCUGUAUAUUUAGUAACUCAUCCAUUGGCUCUAUGUGACAUGUCCUACAAUCAGUCCAAGAGUAGGAAACUGACGGUGACAGAGAUGAAAAGACUUUU